AGUGGGGAAUAUUGCGCAAUGGGCGAAAGCCUGACGCAGCAACGCCGCGUGAGCGAUGAAGGCCUUCGGGUCGUAAAGCUCUGUCAAGUGGGAAGAACACAAUGACGGUACCACUAGAGGAAGCCCCGGCUAACUUCGURCCAGCAGCCGCGGUAAUACGAAGGGGGCAAGCGUUGUUCGGAAUUAUUGGGCGUAAAGCGUAUGUAGGUGGUUUUUCAAGUCRGGCGUGUAAGCCCUCGGCUCAACCGAGGAAUUGCGUYUGAAACUGAUURACUUGAGUGUAGGAGAGGAAAGCGGAAUUCCCAGUGUAGCGGUGAAAUGCGUUGAUAUUGGGAAGAACACCGGUGGCGAAGGCGGCUUUCUGGCCUACUACUGACACUGAGAUACGAAAGCCAGGGGAGCAAAGGGGAUUAGAUACCCCCGUAGUCCUGGCUGUAAACGAUGGGCACUAGGUGCGGGAGGUAUUGAUCCCUUCUGUGCCGCAGCUAACGCAUUAAGUGCCCCGCC
Molecule: ribosomal RNA, 507 nt
Filed under: uncultured bacterium
Lineage: Bacteria
Description: bacterial SSU rRNA
Rfam family: Bacterial small subunit ribosomal RNA
Source: RNAcentral